UUCUUGAACCAGCAGGCUGCUUUGCAGCUGAUCCACAGUCAUUGUGGUGGUAUCAUUAGACUCUUCAAUUGAGCACACCACAUAAUUGAACCUUGAGGUUAAAGAUCUCAAGAUCUUUUCAACUAUUGUGCUCUGAGUGAUGGUGUCACCAUGGCUUGUCAUCUUGUUUGCAAUACUCAGUGUUCUUGAAAAGUAUUCAUCAAUAGACUCACCAAUUCACAUGUUCAGCAUCUCAAAUUCUUUCCUCAGAGCUUGCAGCUGAGCUCUCUUGACUUUGGUGGAUCCACAAUACUUCUGGCGCAUUGAAUCUCAUAUCUCUUUUGCAGUACCUCGAGUGAGGAUUGUUUCAAGAAUGGAUCUUUCUAUUGCUUGAAACAAAAAAUUCUUUGCUUUCAAAUCUUUCAACUUGCUCUUUCUUGCAGCUUGAAUUUGAUCUUGAGUUGCUCCUGCAGGAGCCUCAAUUACUCCAUCCUCGAUGAGACUCCAAUACUCUUUGGAUCUCAAGAGAUUCUCCAUUAACAUUGACCAGUGAUCAUAGUGACCAUCAAACUUGGGAAUUGAUGGUUGCAGGUAGUUGCUUGAAUCCGCCAUGGAAUCUUCAAGCAAGAACGCGAUGAAGAACUUUGUAACUAACUACGGUUAUUGCAAAGGCUGGAUCUUUAGAAGGUANNN
RNAcentral lists this long non-coding RNA (672 nucleotides) under Trifolium pratense (red clover). RNAcentral's name for it is "long non-coding RNA (TPRA_LNC002328)". Lineage: Eukaryota; Viridiplantae; Streptophyta; Magnoliopsida; Fabales; Fabaceae. The record is from RNAcentral.